GAGUAAUGUCUGGGAAACUGCCUGAUGGAGGGGGAUAACUACUGGAAACGGUGGCUAAUACCGCAUAACGUCGCAAGACCAAAGAGGGGGACCUUCGGGCCUCUUGCCAUCAGAUGUGCCCAGAUGGGAUUAGCUUGUUGGUGAGGUAACGGCUCACCAAGGCGACGAUCCCUAGCUGGUCUGAGAGGAUGACCAGCCACACUGGAACUGAGACACGGUCCAGACUCCUACGGGAGGCAGCAGUGGGGAAUAUUGCACAAUGGGCGCAAGCCUGAUGCAGCCAUGCCGCGUGUAUGAAGAAGGCCUUCGGGUUGUAAAGUACUUUCAGCGGGGAGGAAGGUGUUGUGGUUAAUAACCGCAGCAAUUGACGUUACCCGCAGAAGAAGCACCGGCUAACUCCGUGCCAGCAGCCGCGGUAAUACGGAGGGUGCAAGCGUUAAUCGGAAUUACUGGGCGUAAAGCGCACGCAGGCGGUCUGUCAAGUCGGAUGUGAAAUCCCCGGGCUCAACCUGGGAACUGCAUUCGAAACUGGCAGGCUUGAGUCUUGUAGAGGGGGGUAGAAUUCCAGGUGUAGCGGUGAAAUGCGUAGAGAUCUGGAGGAAUACCGGUGGCGAAGGCGGCCCCCUGGACAAAGACUGACGCUCAGGUGCGAAAGCGUGGGGAGCAAACAGGAUUAGAUACCCUGGUAGUCCACGCCGUAAACGAUGUCUACUUGGAGGUUGUGCCCUUGAGGCGUGGCUUCCGGAGCUAACGCGUUAAGUAGACCGCCUGGGGAGUACGGCCGCAAGGUUAAAACUCAAAUGAAUUGACGGGGGCCCGCACAAGCGGUGGAGCAUGUGGUUUAAUUCGAUGCAACGCGAAGAACCUUACCUGGUCUUGACAUCCACAGAAGAAUCCAGAGAUGGAUUUGUGCCUUCGGGAACUGUGAGACAGGUGCUGCAUGGCUGUCGUCAGCUCGUGUUGUGAAAUGUUGGGUUAAGUCCCGCAACGAGCGCAACCCUUAUCCUUUGUUGCCAGCGGUUAGGCCGGGAACUCAAAGGAGACUGCCAGUGAUAAACUGGAGGAAGGUGGGGAUGACGUCAAGUCAUCAUGGCCCUUACGACCAGGGCUACACACGUGCUACAAUGGCGCAUACAAAGAGAAGCGACCUCGCGAGAGCAAGCGGACCUCAUAAAGUGCGUCGUAGUCCGGAUUGGAGUCUGCAACUCGACUCCAUGAAGUCGGAAUCGCUAGUAAUCGUGGAUCAGAAUGCCACGGUGAAUACGUUCCCGGGCCUUGUACACACCGCCCGUCACACCAUGGGAGUGGGUUGCAAAAGAAGUAGGUAGCUUAACCUUCGGGAGGGCGCUUACCACUUUGUGAUUCAUGACUGGGGUGAAGUCGUAACAAGGUAACCGUAGGGGAACCUGCGGUUGGAUCACCUCCUUACCUUAAAG
Molecule: ribosomal RNA, 1436 nt
Filed under: Salmonella enterica subsp. enterica serovar Enteritidis
Lineage: Bacteria; Pseudomonadati; Pseudomonadota; Gammaproteobacteria; Enterobacterales; Enterobacteriaceae
Description: bacterial SSU rRNA
Rfam family: Bacterial small subunit ribosomal RNA
Source: RNAcentral